CGACCUGAGUUCAGGCGAGGCUACCCGCUGAACUUAAGCAUAUCAAUAAGCGGAGGAAAAGAAACUAACCAGGAUUCCCCUAGUAACGGCGAGCGAACCGGGAAGAGCCCAUCGUGAAAAUCUCCACUCAGUGGCGAAUUGUAGUGUAUAGAACUGUCCCCUAUCACAGCGCGGGCCCAAGUGCCGUGGAAGCGGUCGUCGUAGAGGGUGAGAGCCCCGUCGGCCCGCCGCCUGUGGUUCCACGGGGUCGGCUUCGCAGAGUCGGGUUGUUUUGGGGAAUA
This 281-nucleotide ribosomal RNA is filed under the name Ulvella leptochaete. RNAcentral's name for it is "partial 28S ribosomal RNA". It matches the Rfam family "Eukaryotic large subunit ribosomal RNA", at positions 1 to 284 of the family's 3401-position model. Lineage: Eukaryota; Viridiplantae; Chlorophyta; Ulvophyceae; Ulvales; Ulvellaceae. The record is from RNAcentral.